GGGAGGCAGCAGUGGGGAAUCUUGGACAAUGGGCGCAAGCCUGAUCCAGCCAUGCCGCGUGUGUGAUGAAGGCCUUAGGGUCGUAAAGCACUUUCGCCAGAGAUGAUAAUGACAGUAUCUGGUAAAGAAACCCCGGCUAACUCCGUGCCAGCAGCCGCGGUAAUACGGAGGGGGUUAGCGUUGUUCGGAAUUACUGGGCGUAAAGCGCACGUAGGCGGACUAGUCAGUCAGAGGUGAAAUCCCAGGGCUCAACCCUGGAACUGCCUUUGAUACUGCUAGUCUUGAGUUCGAGAGAGGUGAGUGGAAUUCCGAGUGUAGAGGUGAAAUUCGUAGAUAUUCGGAGGAACACCAGUGGCGAAGGCGGCUCACUGGCUCGAUACUGACGCUGAGGUGCGAAAGUGUGGGGAGCAAACAGGAUUAGAUACCCUGGUAGUCCACACCGUAAACGAUGAAUGCCAGUCGUCGGGCAGUAUACUGUUCGGUGACACACCUAACGGAUUAAGCAUCCGC
This 510-nucleotide ribosomal RNA is filed under the name uncultured Alphaproteobacteria bacterium. RNAcentral describes it as "bacterial SSU rRNA". It matches the Rfam family "Bacterial small subunit ribosomal RNA", at positions 343 to 872 of the family's 1533-position model. The record is from RNAcentral. Lineage: Bacteria; Pseudomonadati; Pseudomonadota; Alphaproteobacteria.